AUGCUGCGACUGCCCGUGCACAAGUUCGGGAUACUAGGGUACCCCUACUCUAGUACACCGACAAAAGAUGUCGGGAGACUAAUCCACGAGCACCUAUGGGACCGGCGGACCGAGUCCCUUUCGAUUCGGCGAGGGCGGAGGUCGUGCAAAGAGCGGAUCGAGGCGAAGCACACGAGCGGUUUACCCAGGUUCGGGCCGCACGGAUGCGUAAAACCCUACUCCUGCUUUGUGGUUUGUAUUGAGUUCUUGCUCGGAAGCGUGGAGUGCUACAGUACACACCAGCGGCUAACGAGACCGAGCGUGAGUGUUCUCUGA
Molecule: ribosomal RNA, 315 nt
Filed under: Triticum aestivum (bread wheat)
Lineage: Eukaryota; Viridiplantae; Streptophyta; Magnoliopsida; Poales; Poaceae
Description: partial small subunit ribosomal RNA
Source: RNAcentral